UAGUGCUUUACACAUGCAAGUCGAGCGGAUUUCUCUGUUUGUAGCAAUACAAACGGAAGGGAAUACGAGCGGCAAACGGGUGAGUAAUGGAUAGGUAAUCUACCAUAAUGACUGGGAUACCCCCUUGAAAAGGGAUCAAUACCAGAUAAUGUCAGUUUAAAUACUUUAAGCUGAAGAAAGAUGGCCUAAAGCUAUCACAUUAUGACGAGCCUAUCUCCUAUCAGCUUGUUGGUGAGGUAAUGGCUCACCAAGGCUAUGACGGGUAGCUGGUCUGAGAGGAUGGUCAGCCACACUGGAACUUAGACACGGUCCAGACUCCUACGGGAGGCAGCAGUGGGGAAUCUUGGGCAAUGGGCGAAAGCCUGACCCAGCGACACUGCGUGGGUGAUGAAGAUCUUUGGAUUGUAAAACCCUUUUCCUGAAGAUGAAAGGUAGGAUUGAGAAUAUCCUUCCUACCCUGACAGUAUUCAGGGAAUAAGCCCCAGCCAACUACGUG
RNAcentral lists this ribosomal RNA (496 nucleotides) under uncultured bacterium. RNAcentral describes it as "bacterial SSU rRNA". It matches the Rfam family "Bacterial small subunit ribosomal RNA", at positions 42 to 507 of the family's 1533-position model. The record is from RNAcentral.